UGGGGAAUAUUGCACAAUGGGCGAAGGCCUGAUGCAGCGACGCCGCGUGAGGGAUGACGGCCUUCGGGUUGUAAACCUCUUUCAGCAGGGAAGAAGCGAAAGUGACGGUACCUGCAGAAGAAGCGCCGGCUAACUACGUGCCAGCAGCCGCGGUAAUACGUAGGGCGCAAGCGUUGUCCGGAAUUAUUGGGCGUAAAGAGCUCGUAGGCGGUUAGUCGCGUCUGCUGUGAAAACUCGAGGCUCAACCUCGGGCUUGCAGUGGGUACGGGCUGACUAGAGUGCGGUAGGGGUGACUGGAAUUCCUGGUGUAGCGGUGGAAUGCGCAGAUAUCAGGAGGAACACCGAUGGCGAGGGCAGGUCACUGGGCCGCAACUGACGCUGAGGAGCGAAAGCAUGGGGAGCGAACAGGAUUAGAUACCCUGGUAGUCCAUGCCGUAAACGUUGGGCACUAGGUGUGGGGUCCAUUCCACGGAUUCCGUGCCGCAGCAAACGCAUUAAGUGCCCCGCCUGGGGAGUACGGCCGCAAGGCUAAAACUCAAAUGAAUUGAC
Molecule: ribosomal RNA, 549 nt
Filed under: uncultured bacterium
Lineage: Bacteria
Description: partial 16S ribosomal RNA
Rfam family: Bacterial small subunit ribosomal RNA
Source: RNAcentral